UUUUAAUGAUGAUACUAUAAAAUAUAAUGGGUAAUUUACGUCUGAAAAUUAUUGAUGACCACAUAUAGACAUCUGAAAAAA
Plasmodium relictum is the source of this 81-nucleotide small nucleolar RNA. RefSeq annotates it as small nucleolar RNA snoR24. Lineage: Eukaryota; Apicomplexa; Aconoidasida; Haemosporida; Plasmodiidae. The record is from RefSeq and is a predicted model, not a curated record. The transcript has a single exon.